Molecule: non-coding RNA, 97 nt
Filed under: marine eukaryotic metagenome
Description: Pyrrolysine insertion sequence mttB
Rfam family: Pyrrolysine insertion sequence mttB
Source: RNAcentral
GGCUGAUGCCAAGUUGCCAGAUGCCCAGUCUGGCUACGAGAAGGCCUACACUAACGUGCUGGCCGGCCACAGCGGGGCCAAUCUGAUCUACGAGUCG